Molecule: long non-coding RNA, 466 nt
Organism: Bubalus bubalis (water buffalo)
Lineage: Eukaryota; Metazoa; Chordata; Mammalia; Artiodactyla; Bovidae
Exons: 2
Source: RefSeq, a predicted model, not a curated record
CGCACGCUGUGUGCUUCUGGUUAUGUAACUCUCUGGGAACCAGGCGUCCCGGUGGGGAGGCGGCAGCCAUUGCCGGGGGCUGGAGCCGGGGCCCCACGUUUCCGGACGGAGCGGCCCUGGUCUUGAAUACGGUGGUGGUCCCGGGCAUCUGUACCCAUGACCGAAUUCAUAGAAACACACACAGCACGGAAGACCUGCUGGAGGCAGGAUCACUCUGUGGUUGCUGCUUCAAAUCCUGUGGACCAGGGCAAAGGCUGAGACUUCGCUUGACUAUGAGCUCUGCCAUUCACAGAGAGCCCUGACCUGGCGCCUGACACUGUCCUCACGGAGACAUUUGUUGAAUAGAGGACAGAACUUGACAGCAAACUAACAACAGAAUUGACAUUGGUUGAAAAGAAUGCAAGUUACUAGUUGAUCCAAGAGCAAGAAAAUGUUACCAAGAAAAGCAGAGCUUCAAGAAGCCAAA